CUUCCUUGGCAUAACCGCCAAAUUGCCUGAGGAUAUAAGAGAAAGGACAUGACCUUGAAGGAAGAAGGGAUCUUACAAA
Small nucleolar RNA from Ochotona princeps (American pika), 79 nucleotides. Lineage: Eukaryota; Metazoa; Chordata; Mammalia; Lagomorpha; Ochotonidae. The record is from Ensembl.